AACCUGCAGAAGGAUCAUU
RNAcentral lists this ribosomal RNA (19 nucleotides) under Puccinia boroniae. RNAcentral's name for it is "partial 18S ribosomal RNA". Lineage: Eukaryota; Fungi; Basidiomycota; Pucciniomycetes; Pucciniales; Pucciniaceae. The record is from RNAcentral.